UACGUAGGGUGCAAGCGUUAAUCGGAAUUACUGGGCGUAAAGCGUGCGCAGGCGGUUUUGUAAGUUUGUCGUGAAAGCCCCGGGCUCAACCCGGGAAUGGCGAUGAAGACUGCAAGGCUUGAAUCUGGCAGAGGGGGGUAGAAUUCCACGUGUAGCAGUGAAAUGCGUAGAGAUGUGGAGGAACACCGAUGGCGAAGGCAGCCCCCUGGGUCAAGAUUGACGCUCAUGCACGAAAGCGUGGGGAGCAAACAGG
RNAcentral lists this ribosomal RNA (253 nucleotides) under uncultured bacterium. Its description in RNAcentral is "partial 16S ribosomal RNA". It matches the Rfam family "Bacterial small subunit ribosomal RNA", at positions 524 to 776 of the family's 1533-position model. The record is from RNAcentral.